UACAGAGGUGGCAAGCGUUGUUCGGAAUUACUGGGCGUAAAGGGCGCGUAGGCGGCCUUCUAAGUCAGACGUGAAAUCCCCCGGCUUAACCUGGGAACUGCGUCUGAUACUGGGAGGCUCGAGUAUGGGAGAGGGAUGUAGAAUUCCAGGUGUAGCGGUGAAAUGCGCAGAUAUCAGGAGGAACACCGGUGGCGAAGGCGGGUCUCUGGGCCGAUACUGACGCUGAGGAGCGAAAGCGUGGGGAGCAAACAGG
This 253-nucleotide ribosomal RNA is filed under the name uncultured bacterium. RNAcentral describes it as "partial 16S ribosomal RNA". It matches the Rfam family "Bacterial small subunit ribosomal RNA", at positions 524 to 776 of the family's 1533-position model. The record is from RNAcentral.